UUCAACUCGUGCCAAUUUUCCCCUUCCGGUGUUUCGUGGUUCCGGUAACCUGUUGCCCGAAACACCGCGAUAGUGUUGUGAUUAAUCGACGUCCCAUCCAUCAUCGAUUCCCAACGGAUCCGAUUAAUUGAUCGAUGUGCUCGAACCCUGUGAAAGAGUGAGAUUAUCAUUUUUAGAUGCUGUUAGGCUGAAUUUUUACAGGCUGAAUCAGGGUUGUUUUACUUUCUUUCGAGAUCUUUAUUGCGGUCACGUCUGGUUAAAGUAACCUGUUGCUUAGGAAUACGAUGCUGAGUAAUCCGUCGCGGAGCGCGCGUGAAAUUAACGUGACUUUUGCGGAGCUUUCGCGGAAGUCCGAUAUAUUGUGUCACGGGGAGUAAUUGGAGAUUGUAAGAACUCGAUCACUGCCAAGGGUUGUCGAAGUUUCAGAAGGUCCACGCGUCCGGGCUCGUUCACUCGGAAGUUUGAAAGGAUAUCCCAAAGGAAUCUGGCCCAAUAAUCUCUGUAUCGAAUCGGAUGUCCAAGGGUUGAAAUCGAGCCGGGCUUGUAGCGGAGGGUGACGUUCCAAACCGAAAUCGAUUCUCGAACUACGCGAGACAUCGUUUCGCGUGGAAAGUUCGAUCCAUCAGGAGCCGCUGUUAAUGCUUCGAUCGUGUCCCACAGGAUUAUCCUUCUCGAAGGAUCAGCCAUCGGAUAUCAGUGCCAUCAUGGGCUAAAUAAAUCGACCGUCGUGUCGGGAGCUCGAAACCAGAUUUAUUAUCGCCGAAAUUUUGAACGCGCUUCGAAAAUCGUCCUUCUCGAACUAUGGCAUCGAUUUUGGAAAGAAAACGAGCAACAAAAGGAGACUGAAACUCGUUAACCCUCGAAGGACGGAGAUUGGGUUAAUUGCUACCCAAACUUAUGGAACGUGUUCGACGAUCGACUGAAAUUAGAGGUCCCCAGAAACGGUCCAGUAGCUGGUGACGUGGAGACGAGGGAUCGAUGCUGCGGAACAGAAGAAGCAGAAGCAACAAAGUUGAAAAAAAGAUCAUUCGGAGGAUCGUUAGGCGAGUCACGAAAGGGGGUGGAAUGGUUUCGUCGGAGUCUGAUGAAAGUCGGGUGAACAUAAGCUGUCGAAGGGAAUGUAAAUUGUCGGAUUAGCGGUGGAAAGGAGGCAAACGAUCCGAAACAUUCGACCGGGACGUCUGAGGAAAUUUCAAAGUAUGCUUCUUAAAAUUUUACAGAGGCAAAGAAAAUCCGCGAAUCGUGACAGAUAACGGCAGGGGAUAAUAAAGUGAAGAUGCAGUGAGCUUCAAGGACGUCCGGCAGUAUCUCAGGGUCCUGAAGGGCUGACGUAGCCUAAUGCAUCCCCGGUGCGUCGUAAGUUGCUCGUUUUUCCUUGGAACGCAGUUUCCGCGUCCGUGCUGGAAAAUACGAGCCACAUAAUCCGUUACGACGAAAGGGAAGAAAAAAUCGGAAUUUGCCGAGGAGGCUUUGGAAGGUUCACUCGGGCGAAAAGUCCGAUAGGACAUUGGAUAAACGCGAGAUUCUAUAGAACCAUCUUUCGAUCAAAAGAAUUUGCCGAGUGUGAAUUUUCCAAGAUA
RNAcentral lists this long non-coding RNA (1580 nucleotides) under Megachile rotundata (alfalfa leafcutting bee). Its description in RNAcentral is "uncharacterized LOC105663748". The record is from RNAcentral. Lineage: Eukaryota; Metazoa; Arthropoda; Insecta; Hymenoptera; Megachilidae.